This 873-nucleotide ribosomal RNA is filed under the name uncultured bacterium. RNAcentral describes it as "bacterial SSU rRNA". It matches the Rfam family "Bacterial small subunit ribosomal RNA", at positions 510 to 1383 of the family's 1533-position model. The record is from RNAcentral.
AGCAGCCGCGGUAAUACGGAGGGUGCGAGCGUUAAUCGGAAUGACUGGGCGUAAAGGGCAUGUAGGUGGGUCAUUAAGUUAGGUGUGAAAUCCCCGGGCUCAACCUGGGAACAGCACUUAAAACUGGUGGUCUAGAGUAUUGUAGAGGAAGGUAGAAUUCCAUGUGUAGCGGUGAAAUGCGUAGAGAUGUGGAGGAAUACCGGUGGCGAAGGCGGCCUUCUGGACAAAUACUGACGCUGAGAUGCGAAAGCGUGGGGAGCAAACAGGAUUAGAUACCCUGGUAGUCCACGCUGUAAACGAUGUCGAUUUGGAGUUUGGUGGCAUGACUACUGGGCUCCGAAGCUAACGCGUUAAAUCGACCGCCUGGGGAGUACGGCCGCAAGGUUAAAACUCAAAUGAAUUGACGGGGGCCCGCACAAGCGGUGGAGCAUGUGGUUUAAUUCGAUGCAACGCGAAGAACCUUACCUGGUCUUGACAUCCACAGAAUUUUGUAGAGAUACGAAAGUGCCUUAGGGAGCUGUGAGACAGGUGCUGCAUGGCUGUCGUCAGCUCGUGUUGUGAAAUGUUGGGUUAAGUCCCGCAACGAGCGCAACCCUUAUCCUUUGUUGCCAUCGGUUAGGCCGGGAACUCAAAGGAGACUGCCGUUGAUAAAGCGGAGGAAGGUGGGGACGACGUCAAGUCAUCAUGGCCCUUACGACCAGGGCUACACACGUGCUACAAUGGCGCAUACAAAGAGAAGCAAACCAGCGAUGGCAAGCGGACCUCAUAAAGUGCGUCUAAGUUCGGAUUGGAGUCUGCAACUCGACUCCAUGAAGUCGGAAUCGCUAGUAAUCGUGAAUCAGAAUGUCACGGUGAAUACGUUCCCGGGCCUUG